CUUGGCCAACCCUAGGGGGCUCAUGGAGGCAUCCUGGGGGAGAUUUGGGGGUCCCGGGGGGUCCCAGGCCUGCCCUGAACCGGAGUCCAGGGGUUUCAUGCGCAUGGGGCACAACAGGGGCUCCCCCCACUCCCUGUUUUUGGGAGGGUCUCCCAUGGUGCCCCCUCCCUAAAAAGCUCCAAGAGCCCCCUGAAGUGGCCCUACCCGCAGCGACUGCGGCCGAGCCGGGCGAGCCCAGCGGCGGGCUGGAUUCACGGCCGCAGGGCCCUGCUGCUGGAGAUGGAUCAUGCGAUGGCUGGCUCUCGCAGUUAAGGGAUGGACAUUGUGUGGAUAUUGAGAGAAGCUUUGUUGAUGUAUAGUUGUGUUACUGUCGUUUAGAUGUCCUCUGCUCUCCCCAGAGUUCCCCUUUUGCCAAGGCCUUCCCUCUUCCCUGUGGGCGGCACAGGCCCCGCUCCGGCGCGGAGCCGCUUCUGACUGCCUCUGUUGGAUGGAGCCUUUCCUGCUGUGUCUGUGUGCCUUGACAGCGUGUUGGUACAGGGAUUUUUAAGCCUAUUUUGUUUUCUGGCUAAAUUCUGGUUGUUUUAUAUAGUUUUACAGUGACUGGAGAGAUUGAAAAGCGGUAAAUGCAGCGCCUCAUUACCUAUCAAAUUCUGACAUGGUCUGAUCUCUUUAACAAGAAUGCUAACAAAUUUGCCAUAUAAAAUGAUGCCAGAAGCCAUCACAAAAAGCUGUUGGGGUGUUCAGCAAUACGCUAAAUUUCACAUUAUAUAUUUAUUUUCUAGUAACCCUGCACUUUAAAAAGUCUUACCGAAUUUCUGUUUCCAUGGAAUUUGCAGUUACCAUGGGUUUUUCUCAUCACCGAUUUACUUAUAAUUCUAAUGUGCUUGUUACAACUUUAAUCCCUCCAGUACACCAUCAUGCUGUUAUUUCACUUAUGGCUCAUUCACCUUUCAGUUGUCUUUUUGUGUUAAUAAAACCUUAGACAAAGUUACAUCAUGUCAUAUCCGUAACUUUUAAGGAUGUUCAUUUUAAUUCUGUAAAUUAAGGCCCAACAUUGUAAUGCUCAGUUACGUUCUGUUAAAUUGAAUAAGGCUAAGUUUCAUGAAGUGAAUUUUGGUCGAUUUUAUUUCUGUUCAGUUUCAGUAUUACUAAGUUUGAACAAUGUUCUAUUCCAGUUUUUUAUGGAUCCAGUUAUGUUCGGUAUUAAUAGUAAUUAACUUGGA
Molecule: long non-coding RNA, 1223 nt
Organism: Motacilla alba alba
Lineage: Eukaryota; Metazoa; Chordata; Aves; Passeriformes; Motacillidae
Exons: 2
Source: RefSeq, a predicted model, not a curated record